Schistosoma haematobium is the source of this 45-nucleotide non-coding RNA. The record is from Rfam. Lineage: Eukaryota; Metazoa; Platyhelminthes; Trematoda; Strigeidida; Schistosomatidae.
AUCCAACUGAUGUCUCUCAAAUAGGACGAUACGAGCGUCCUGGAU